This 460-nucleotide ribosomal RNA is filed under the name uncultured bacterium. RNAcentral describes it as "partial 16S ribosomal RNA". It matches the Rfam family "Bacterial small subunit ribosomal RNA", at positions 338 to 795 of the family's 1533-position model. The record is from RNAcentral.
CCUACGGGAGGCAGCAGUGAGGAAUAUUGGUCAAUGGGCUUACGCCUGAACCAGCCAAGUCGCGUGAGGGAAGACUGCCCUAUGGGUUGUAAACCUCUUUUGUCAGGGAGCAACGCCGGCUACGUGUAGCCGGACUGAGAGUACCUGAAGAAAAAGCAUCGGCUAACUCCGUGCCAGCAGCCGCGGUAAUACGGAGGAUGCGAGCGUUCUCCGGAUUUAUUUGGGUUAAAGGGUGCGUAGGCGGAAUGCCAAGUCAGCGGUAAAAUCGCGGGGCUAAACCUCGCUCCGACGUUGAAACUGGUGUUCUUGAGUUGGCGAGAAGUAUGCGGAAUGCGUGGUGUAGCGGUGAAAUGCAUAGAUAUCACGCAGAAGUCCGAUUGCGAAGGCAGCAUACCGGCGCCCAACUGACGCUGAAGCACGAAAGCGUGGGUAUCGAACAGGAGUAGAUACCCCUGUAGUC